UCCCUCUCUUCUCUCUCUUUUUUCUCUUUCCUCUUUCACUCUUUCUUUCUUUCUUUCUGUUUUUCUCUCAAGUUGGAUUAAGAUAUUUAUGGAAGAGAAAUUCAUGGGACUUGAUGGUAGACCCCUCAUGAAUCCAAGUAAAGGGUUUUGGAGUGGCCUCAUAUUGCAUGUUGUGUUCUAUUCGAUCAAUAUCGGGCAUCUUUGUACCUUAUCAUUAAUGACCCU
This 225-nucleotide long non-coding RNA is filed under the name Elaeis guineensis (African oil palm). RNAcentral's name for it is "long non-coding RNA (EGUI_LNC038369)". Lineage: Eukaryota; Viridiplantae; Streptophyta; Magnoliopsida; Arecales; Arecaceae. The record is from RNAcentral.